AGCAGCCGCGGUAAUUCCAGCUCCAAUAGCGUAUAUUAAAGUUGCUGCAGUUAAAAAGCUCGUAGUUGAAUUUCGGGACCAUCAUGUCGGUCGUGCCUCGGUACGUACUGGCAUUGUUGGUUUCUACCUUCUGACGAACCAUGAUGUCAUUUAUUUGGUGUCGUGGGAAAUCAGGACUGUUACUUUGAAAAAAUUAGAGUGUUUAAAGCAGGCUCACGCUUGAAUACAUUAGCAUGGAAUAAUGAAAUAGGACGUUUGAUUCUAUUUUGUUGGUUUCUAGGAUCGACGUAAUGAUUAAUAGGGAUAGUUGGGGGCAUUAGUAUUCAAUUGUCAGAGGUGAAAUUCUUGGAUUUAUUGAAGACUAACUACUGCGAAAGCAUUUGCCAAGGAUGUUUUCAUUAAUCAAGAACGAAAGUUAGGGGAUCGAAGACGAUCAGAUACCGUCGUAGUCUUAACCAUAAACUAUGCCGACUAGGGAUCGGAUGAUGUUAUUUUUAAUGACUCAUUCGGCGCCUUACG
RNAcentral lists this ribosomal RNA (519 nucleotides) under uncultured Glomeromycotina. RNAcentral's name for it is "SSU rRNA". It matches the Rfam family "Eukaryotic small subunit ribosomal RNA", at positions 569 to 1092 of the family's 1831-position model. The record is from RNAcentral. Lineage: Eukaryota; Fungi; Glomeromycota.